GAUGAACGCUGGCGGCGUGCCUAAUACAUGCAAGUCGAGCGAACGGACGAGAAGCUUGCUCCUCUGAUGUUAGCGGCGGACGGGUGAGUAACACGUGGAUAACCUACCUAUAAGACUGGGAUAACUUCGGGAAACCGGAGCUAAUACCGGAUAAUAUAUUGAACCGCAUGGUUCAUAAGUGAAAGACGGUUUUGCUGUCACUUAUAGAUGGAUCCGCGCUGCAUUAGCUAGUUGGUAAGGUAACGGCUUACCAAGGCAACGAUGCGUAGCCGACCUGAGAGGGUGAUCGGCCACACUGGAACUGAGACACGGUCCAGACUCCUACGGGAGGCAGCAGUAGGGAAUCUUCCGCAAUGGGCGAAAGCCUGACGGAGCAACGCCGCGUGAGUGAUGAAGGUCUUCGGAUCGUAAAACUCUGUUAUUAGGGAAGAACAAAUGUGUAAGUAACUAUGCACGUCUUGACGGUACCUAAUCAGAAAGCCACGGCUAACUACGUG
Molecule: ribosomal RNA, 497 nt
Filed under: uncultured bacterium
Lineage: Bacteria
Description: partial 16S ribosomal RNA
Rfam family: Bacterial small subunit ribosomal RNA
Source: RNAcentral